RNAcentral lists this ribosomal RNA (746 nucleotides) under uncultured bacterium. RNAcentral's name for it is "bacterial SSU rRNA". It matches the Rfam family "Bacterial small subunit ribosomal RNA", at positions 73 to 835 of the family's 1533-position model. The record is from RNAcentral.
UCGGAUGAAGAUCUUGGUGACUGAGUGGCGGACGGGUGAGUAACGCGUGGGUAACCUGCCUCAUACAGGGGGAUAACAGUUAGAAAUGACUGCUAAUACCGCAUAAGACCACAGCACCGCAUGGUGCAGGGGUAAAAACUCCGGUGGUAUGAGAUGGACCCGCGUCUGAUUAGGUAGUUGGUGGGGUAACGGCCUACCAAGCCAACGAUCAGUAGCCGACCUGAGAGGGUGACCGGCCACAUUGGGACUGAGACACGGCCCAAACUCCUACGGGAGGCAGCAGUGGGGAAUAUUGCACAAUGGGGGAAACCCUGAUGCAGCGACGCCGCGUGAGCGAUGAAGUAUUUCGGUAUGUAAAGCUCUAUCAGCAGGGAAGAAAAUGACGGUACCUGACUAAGAAGCACCGGCUAAAUACGUGCCAGCAGCCGCGGUAAUACGUAUGGUGCAAGCGUUAUCCGGAUUUACUGGGUGUAAAGGGAGCGUAGACGGAGUGGCAAGUCUGAUGUGAAAACCCGGGGCUCAACCCCGGGACUGCAUUGGAAACUGUCAAUCUAGAGUACCGGAGAGGUAAGCGGAAUUCCUAGUGUAGCGGUGAAAUGCGUAGAUAUUAGGAGGAACACCAGUGGCGAAGGCGGCUUACUGGACGGUAACUGACGUUGAGGCUCGAAAGCGUGGGGAGCAAACAGGAUUAGAUACCCUGGUAGUCCACGCCGUAAACGAUGACUACUAGGUGUCGGGCAGCAAAG